RNAcentral lists this ribosomal RNA (481 nucleotides) under uncultured bacterium. RNAcentral describes it as "partial 16S ribosomal RNA". It matches the Rfam family "Bacterial small subunit ribosomal RNA", at positions 28 to 507 of the family's 1533-position model. The record is from RNAcentral.
GACGAACGCUGGCGGCGUGCUUAACACAUGCAAGUCGAACGGGAUCCGGGCUUUCGGGUUUGGUGAGAGUGGCGAACGGGUGAGUAACACGUGAGUAACCUGCCCCCUUCUUUGGGAUAACGUCGGGAAAUCGGCGCUAAUACUGGAUAUUCUUGCUGCAUCGCAUGGUGUGGUUUGGAAAGGGUUUCUGGUGGGGGAUGGGCUCGCGGCCUAUCAGCUUGUUGGUGGGGUGAUGGCCUACCAAGGCUUUGACGGGUAGCCGGCCUGAGAGGGUGUCCGGCCACACUGGGACUGGGACACGGCCCAGACUCCUACGGGAGGCAGCAGUGGGGAAUAUUGGACAAUGGGCGCAAGCCUGAUGCAGCGACGCCGCGUGAGGGAUGACGGCCUUCGGGUUGUAAACCUCUUUCAGUAUGGAACAAGGAUCCUUCUUUUGGGGGGUUUGAGGGUACGUGCAGAAGAAGCGCCGGCUAACUACGUG